GAACGCUGGCGGCAGGCCUAACACAUGGCAAGGUCGAGCGGGUAACAGGGGAGUAGCUUGCUACUCUGCUGACGAGCGGCGGACGGGUGAGUAAAUGUCUGGGAAACUGCCUGAUGAGGGGGAUAACUACUGGAAACGGUAGCUAAUACCGCAUAACGUCGCAAGACCAAAGAGGGGGACCUUCGGGCCUCUUGCCAUCAGAUGUGCCCAGAUGGGAUUAGCUAGUAGGUGGGGUAACGGCUCACCUAGGCGACGAUCCCUAGCUGGUCUGAGAGGAUGACCAGCCACACUGGAACUGAGACACGGUCCAGACUCCUACGGGAGGCAGCAGUGGGGAAUAUUGCACAAUGGGCGCAAGCCUGAUGCAGCCAUGCCGCGUGUAUGAAGAAGGCCUUCGGGUUGUAAAGUACUUUCAGCGGGGAGGAAGGUGCUGAGGUUAAUAACCUCAGCAAUUGACGUUACCCGCAGAAGAAGCACCGGCUAACUCCGUG
RNAcentral lists this ribosomal RNA (491 nucleotides) under uncultured Enterobacter sp. RNAcentral describes it as "bacterial SSU rRNA". It matches the Rfam family "Bacterial small subunit ribosomal RNA", at positions 31 to 507 of the family's 1533-position model. Lineage: Bacteria; Pseudomonadati; Pseudomonadota; Gammaproteobacteria; Enterobacterales; Enterobacteriaceae. The record is from RNAcentral.